GACGAACGCUGGCGGCGUGCUUAACACAUGCAAGUCGAACGGAAAGGCCCUGCUUUUGUGGGGUGCUCGAGUGGCGAACGGGUGAGUAACACGUGAGUAACCUGCCCUUGACUUUGGGAUAACUUCAGGAAACUGGGGCUAAUACCGGAUAGGAGCUCCUGCUGCAUGGUGGGGGUUGGAAAGUUUCGGCGGCUGGGGAUGGACUCGCGGCUUAUCAGCUUGUUGGUGGGGUAGUGGCUUACCAAGGCUUUGACGGGUAGCCGGCCUGAGAGGGUGACCGGCCACAUUGGGACUGAGAUACGGCCCAGACUCCUACGGGAGGCAGCGGUGGGGAAUAUUGCACAAUGGGCGGAAGCCUGAUGCAGCAACGCCGCGUGCGGGAUGACGGCCUUCGGGUUGUAAACCGCUUUCGCCUGUGACGAAGCGUGAGUGACGGUAAUGGGUAAAGAAGCACCGGCUAACUACGUG
This 468-nucleotide ribosomal RNA is filed under the name uncultured bacterium. RNAcentral's name for it is "partial 16S ribosomal RNA". It matches the Rfam family "Bacterial small subunit ribosomal RNA", at positions 28 to 507 of the family's 1533-position model. The record is from RNAcentral.